AUACGGAGGGUGCAAGCGUUACUCGGAAUCACUGGGCGUAAAGCGCGCGCGGGCGGGCUGAUAAGUUGGAUGUGAAAGCCUACGGCUCAACCGUAGAACUGCAUCCAAAACUGUCAGUCUAGAGUCUGGGAGGGGAAGAUGGAAUUAGUUGUGUAGGGGUAAAAUCCGUAGAGAUAACUAGGAAUACCAAAAGCGAAGGCGAUCUUCUGGAACAGUACUGACGCUGAGGCGCGAAAGCGUGGGGAGCAAACAGGAUUAGAUACCCUAGUAGUCC
This 274-nucleotide ribosomal RNA is filed under the name uncultured bacterium. RNAcentral describes it as "partial 16S ribosomal RNA". It matches the Rfam family "Bacterial small subunit ribosomal RNA", at positions 523 to 796 of the family's 1533-position model. The record is from RNAcentral.